This 55-nucleotide ribosomal RNA is filed under the name Colletotrichum trifolii. RNAcentral describes it as "partial 18S ribosomal RNA". It matches the Rfam family "Eukaryotic small subunit ribosomal RNA", at positions 1777 to 1831 of the family's 1831-position model. Lineage: Eukaryota; Fungi; Ascomycota; Sordariomycetes; Glomerellales; Glomerellaceae. RNAcentral also lists the same sequence under 41 other names. The record is from RNAcentral.
UGGAAGUAAAAGUCGUAACAAGGUCUCCGUUGGUGAACCAGCGGAGGGAUCAUUA